CUUGUCAUAUUUAGGGGUGAAAGUAGUUCAGUUCGAUUUUUUCGGUUUUUGGUUUGGAUUCGGUUCCAAAAAACUGAAACCAAAAUAUUUUGGUUUGGGGUCCCAAAAAACCAAAAACCGAAAUCCAAAUUGAAAUGUUUAAGCCCAUAGAUUUCCAGCCCAAUUCCCCUACAUAUAAAUAGCAAAACCCUAAUAUUCCUCUUCAUUUAAUCUAACUUGCGCCCAUUCCGCCCAACCUCUCUACCUUCAUUCCUUAGUUCCUCACCAAAACCCGUAUUCUCCCUCAUCACCUCACUCCGGCCACCGUACCUCGUAUCUCACCACCUCCUUCCUUCAGUUUUGGUGUUUCGUGUUCGUAUCUCACCACCACCCUCCUUCAAUUCCGGUACUCCCUCAGAUCCGGUGUUCGUACUCCCUGAAAUCCGCGACGCGCCACCACCUACUGUCGCCACCACCUCUCUUGGUCACUUAAUGAUUGUUGAGGAGCUUGGAGUACUUGCUGUUUUGGUAGGCGUAAUAAUUGUUGCCAUGUUGCUUGAAGGCUUGAAGACUUGAAGUUGAUUUUAAUAUUUUAAUGGUUGGACAAUUUUUAUGUAUUAUCUUAUUAUGGACCGUUGUUAUGCUAUAAUUCAAAAGCUUUUUCUUUUAAAUUUCUAGGUAAUUUAGCUGCUGUAGGGUUGUAAUUCAUGACAAUUUUAAAGCCUUUUCUUUUUAAUUCUAGGUAAUUUAGGCCACAAGGCUAACACAAUAAGUCAAA
Chenopodium quinoa (quinoa) is the source of this 757-nucleotide long non-coding RNA. RefSeq lists it as uncharacterized. The record is from RefSeq and is a predicted model, not a curated record. Lineage: Eukaryota; Viridiplantae; Streptophyta; Magnoliopsida; Caryophyllales; Amaranthaceae. The transcript is spliced from 2 exons.